AACGAACGCUGGCGGCAGGCCUAACACAUGCAAGUCGAGCGCACUUUUCGGAGUGAGCGGCGGACGGGUUAGUAACGCGUGGGAAUAUGCCCAAUGGUACGGAAUAGCCUCUGGAAACGGAGAGUAAUACCGUAUGUGCCCUUCGGGGAGAGAUUUAUCGCCAUUGGAUUAGCCCGCGUCUGAUUAGAUAGUUGGUGGGGUAACGGCCUACCAAGUCGACGAUCAGUAGCUGGUUUGAGAGGAUGAUCAGCAACACUGGGACUGAGACACGGCCCAGACUCCUACGGGAGGCAGCAGUGGGGAAUCUUAGACAAUGGGCGCAAGCCUGAUCUAGCCAUGCCGCGUGAGUGAUGAAGGCCUUAGGGUCGUAAAGCUCUUUCGCCUGUGAAGAUAAUGACUGUAGCAGGUAAAGAAACCCCGGCUAACUCCGUG
RNAcentral lists this ribosomal RNA (432 nucleotides) under uncultured bacterium. Its description in RNAcentral is "bacterial SSU rRNA". It matches the Rfam family "Bacterial small subunit ribosomal RNA", at positions 29 to 507 of the family's 1533-position model. The record is from RNAcentral.